This 2878-nucleotide long non-coding RNA is filed under the name Sus scrofa (pig). RNAcentral's name for it is "lncRNA (ENSSSCG00045038417.1)". The record is from RNAcentral. Lineage: Eukaryota; Metazoa; Chordata; Mammalia; Artiodactyla; Suidae.
GUCCAUGGGUAUCUUCUGGUCCCCCAGCACUCAUGUGGAAGGCAAGGUCAUGGACACAAAAUGACCACAUCUCAUCUUUCAUUAUACCUGAGCUGCAGAGAACCAAGACUCCUUGAUGAUCAACGGAUUCCAUGUCUUGGGAUGGAGAAAAAUUAGGCUGGGACUUUGAGCUACAAUGAAUGCCAGAAGACAAGGAAAAUUUUAAAAUGUCUAGGGUCAUAUCUGAAGGGCAAAAGAGAUAGUUUUAAGAAACUCCUACUUGCUACAAUUUAAGCAUCAAAUGAGAAUAUUAACUAUAGCUAAUGAAUUGAGUCUAUAAGAAAUCUAUGGCACUCAAAGAUGAAAUAAGCUCAUUAAAAUGUAUAAGAUGAUAAUUAUAAUACAGAAGAAGGGUGAAUGAAAUUUUUAAAGUAACUAAAAUUCACAGGGAGUUAUUGACAUAUAUGACAUUCUGUUUUUCCAGGUACAUAUUUGUAAGUAUUAUGUAUUCUUUUUCUUAACCUAAGAGAUAGAAAUUAUACCCAGACAGCAAAGGCAAGUCAGCUCAAGAGAUCAUGGAAAAAAACUAAGUGGAAAGCAAGCCAGUGGGUUUCCCCAUGAUAGACCCAUCAAAAUUCAAGAAGAAAUCCUUGAUCAACACAACCUUUUAUCUCCCAGACAAUGAAAUGUGUGGAUGACUCAACUAAAUUCACCAAGAUGCAAAAACUCGAAAUUGAGGUGAAACAUCCUAUAUUAGCUUGCAAGGGCUGCUGUAACGGAGUACCUCAGACUAGGCAGCUUUAAACAAAACUUACCUUCUCACAAUUCUGGAGGCUGGAGGUUCAAGACCAAGGAAGGGACAAUGUAAGAGUUUGAGUGUCAGCAUGUUGGUUCCUACUGAGGCCAUGAGGGAAGAAGCAGCCCUAGGCCUCUCUCCUUGGCUUAUAAAUGGCUGCCUUCUCCCCAUGUGCUGAUACAUGUCUUUGUCCCAAUAGCACAUCAGUCAUAUUGGAUUAGGGUCCACUCGUACGGCUUCACUUUAAUUAAAUUAUUUCUUUAAAGAUACUGUCUACCAAUAUGGUUUCAUUCUAUGUCUACGAACAUGGUACUGGGGCUUAGGACUUCAAGAUAUGAAUUUGGGGAGAAUAUAAGUCAGUUCAUAACACAUCUCAUGACACAGACAUUGUAAAGGAAGAGAGCAGAGACACUGAGUUGCAGGGAAAGGUGCGGCUGUGGGCAUUCUCAUUGACAUAAUGAAUCAGUCUUGAUGACAAAUACCCACCAGGGUUUGACUUACUUUGGAAGUUCAAACUGUGGCCCUUGAUAUAUAUGGUCAUAAUCAGUUCAGUGAUUACUCAUCUCAGCUGAUCGAUCAUAAUCAUUUUGUUUUAUGUUUGAUAGGUGACUUUAACCUGGAAAAAUGCACUAAAAUAUAUUUAAAAAGGAAUGAAAUAAUGCCAUUUGCAGCAACAUGGAUGCAAUUAAAGAUUAUCAUACUAAGUGAAAGAGAAAGGCAGAAAGAGAAAGACAAAUGCCAUAUUAUAUCACCUAUAUGUGGAAUCUAAAAUAUGCCACAAAUGAACCUAUCUACAAAACAAAAACAGGCUAGCAGACAUAGAGAACAGAUUCGUGGUUGUCAAGGGGGAGUGGAAAGGGAGUGAGAUGGACUGGGAGUUUUGGGUUAGUAGAUGGAAACUAUUACAUUCAGAAUGGAAAAGCAAGAAGGUCCUACUGUAUAGCAUAGGGAAUGAUAUCCAAUCUCCUGGGAUAGAUCAUGAUGGAAAAUAACAUAGAAAAAGAAUGUAUAUAUGUAUGACUGGGUUACUUUGCUGUACAGCAGAAACUGGCAUAACAUUGUAAAUUAAUUAUAUUUUAAUAAAAAAUAAAAAUAAAUAUAUUAAAGUUUGUAACUAAUGGAGAAACCAGCUAAACAUAUAGGAUCACUAAUUUUCUCAAAGAUUGAGAAUGAAUAUAAAAAUAUAUUUGAUAAAGAUUAUGAUACUUUGUGACUAUCACACAUUUGUAAAUGUGUUUUAAAGGUGUUUGAAGCAAUUAAGGGAAUGAGGCAUAUUAAGGUUACGUGUUUAUUUAGAUGGAGAGUUUGAUUAAAGUCUGUAAUUAACUUUUAGAUGUGUAAGAGGAUUUGCAAAGUUUAAAUUUUGAUUUAUCAGUUGUGUGUAUUUAUAUUUAAAUGUUAGAGAAAAUCUUCUUUGUAUGCUUAUAGGUAGAUUUACAUUGAACAUUAAAGCAAGAAGAAGUAGUAAAUUUGAUUGUCCACUUGCACAAAACCCUUUCAGAAGUACACCUCCUAGUAGGACUCCAAAGGUGGUUUGGAGUUGGGAACAGGUGUGACAGCAUCAUUUCUUGGCCCCCUUGUGUGGGAAGAACUCAGGGCCCUUACAUUAAGCCCUCCCCUGUUCCACCCUCCAGGACUCGUGGCUGUUAAUUCCAGUGUAAAAGAUAGGAUGAUUUUCACUCAAGUGUAUAUUUCACUAACUAUUCUUUUGCAGCAUUAAGAUCCCUGAUGGCAAAUAACAGUGAUUGCGCCUCAUUGGAAAAUAUUGUGGCUGCCAUUGUACUUCUUAAGAGGUGAGAAUAAAUGGAAGAUGCAAAGAGACUUGCAUCAAAAUAGUUCCUAUCAACACUCACUGACCUUCACUAUCUCUGUUUGUGUUCCAGAUUCCCCACCUCCUUCUUUUUCCCUGCGUUCAUUCCAACAUACUCUCUUGUAGAAUGUUCUCCACUCCUCUUCACUCAGAGGGAGGCAACGAAUUGGUCUACUCUCCAAGGAAAACUUUAUAGUAUAGCCAGGGACUGUGCCUGGCCAGAGUCUGCUGUUGCUAAGAAAAUCAAUUCAAUAAAUUUAAUUCAUUAAAAAACGUCCAUGAUUCAAAACACU